Molecule: long non-coding RNA, 666 nt
Organism: Rosa rugosa (rugosa rose)
Lineage: Eukaryota; Viridiplantae; Streptophyta; Magnoliopsida; Rosales; Rosaceae
Exons: 5
Source: RefSeq, a predicted model, not a curated record
CCCGACCUGCUUUCGUUUCUCUCGCGUUCCUCUCUCUCUCUCUUUCCCUCCCUUUUCUGCUCUCUUGAAUCUCAACUCUCUCAAAUAUUGGUCAAAUUUCUUGAUCAUGAUUCAGGCAAGCCUAUCGCUUUCACCUACCAGUUUCAAUUGAGGUGGCAACUUUUUGAUUAAAUCAAAGGGUUCGGUUGAGCACUCAAGUGUCUUUGAGAUUUUGAGUUUCAGGGUUGCAAUUGGUGAUUGAAGCUCUGACAUUUGUGCACAAUUAGGAGAUGGCUACAUGCACUUUGACACAGUCAAGAUAUAUGGUUCUGAGGGUGCCCUUAUAAACACUUUAACAGAGACAUUUCAAGAUAGGACUAUAGAAAGAGAGGAAUUUUUGUUUCCAUUAUGGGGUAGUCAUCACCAUGACCCUGUUUCUGCUCUGAGACAAACUCUAAAGCACUUAGAUUUGAGCUUAGGUUUCAAGUAUUCAUGGUCCACAACAAAUAGAGCAUCAGCCAACCACAUCAACACCAGCUCAUUCACUGCCUGAGAAAAAAAAAUUCCCUGAAAAAAGCAGGAGAGAGCUGUUUGGUACCAACACAGAAAAAAAAACCCCGCAGGGAAGGCAGCAUUAAACCAGUAGUAUCAUCCAUGGAGACCUUCAACAAUAUCUACAUUAGUGGU